Molecule: ribosomal RNA, 509 nt
Filed under: uncultured bacterium
Lineage: Bacteria
Description: bacterial SSU rRNA
Rfam family: Bacterial small subunit ribosomal RNA
Source: RNAcentral
CUACGUGCCAGCAGCCGCGGUAAUACGUAGGUGSCAAGCGUUGUCCGGAAUUAUUGGGCGUAAAGCGCGCSCAGGCGGAUCAGUUAGUCUGUCUUAAAAGUUCGGGGCUUAACCCCGUGAUGGGAUGGAAACUGCUGAUCUAGAGUAUCGGAGAGGAAAGUGGAAUUCCUAGUGUAGCGGUGAAAUGCGUAGAUAUUAGGAAGAACACCAGUGGCGAAGGCGACUUUCUGGACGAAAACUGACGCUGAGGCGCGAAAGCCAGGGGAGCGAACGGGAUUAGAUACCCCGGUAGUCCUGGCCGUAAACGAUGGGUACUAGGUGUAGGAGGUAUCGACCCCUUCUGUGCCGGAGUUAACGCAAUAAGUACCCCGCCUGGGGAGUACGACCGCAAGGUUGAAACUCAAAGGAAUUGACGGGGGCCCGCACAAGCGGUGGAGUAUGUGGUUUAAUUCGACGCAACGCGAAAAACCUUACCAGGUCUUGACAUUGAUGGACAGAACUAGAGAUAG